This 387-nucleotide ribosomal RNA is filed under the name uncultured bacterium. Its description in RNAcentral is "bacterial SSU rRNA". It matches the Rfam family "Bacterial small subunit ribosomal RNA", at positions 28 to 419 of the family's 1533-position model. The record is from RNAcentral.
AUUGAACGCUGGCGGUAUGCUUAACACAUGCAAGUCGAACGGUAAGGCCCUUCGGGGUACACGAGUGGCGAACGGGUGAGUAACACGUGGGUGAUCUGCCCUGCACUUCGGGAUAAGCCUGGGAAACUGGGUCUAAUACCGGAUAGGACCAUGGACUUCACGGUUUGUGGUGGAAAGCUUUUGCGGUGUGGGAUGGGCCCGCGGCCUAUCAGCUUGUUGGUGGGGUAAUGGCCUACCAAGGCGACGACGGGUAGCCGGCCUGAGAGGGUGUCCGGCCACACUGGGACUGAGAUACGGCCCAGACUCCUACGGGAGGCAGCAGUGGGGAAUAUUGCACAAUGGGCGCAAGCCUGAUGCAGCGACGCCGCGUGAGGGAUGACGGCCUUC